This 944-nucleotide long non-coding RNA is filed under the name Fukomys damarensis (Damara mole-rat). RNAcentral describes it as "lncRNA (ENSFDAG00000026940.1)". The record is from RNAcentral. Lineage: Eukaryota; Metazoa; Chordata; Mammalia; Rodentia; Bathyergidae.
GUGUGUGGGCGGGGUCACGCGAGUGCCGUGAGCCGCGCCGCCGGGUUAGCCGCUGUCCUGAUGCGCUCGCUUCUCGAGCGGUGGCAGAAGUCGCGCCUCGGUCGGCUUUCGUGUGGAACAGCCUGAGCUCUGCUGACUUCUUUUUUUUAGUACCUGGGAUCGAACUCGGGACCUUACUCUUACGAGGCAGGCGGCGGUACCGCUGAGCUACGUCCCCUGUCCUCUGCUAUUAUAAACCAGAAACUGGGCGGAGCGAGCGUGAGCCAAGUCCCGAGCUGUAGUCAGAGGACCCAAAGAAACAGACGUCGCGUGUCCCUCGUCCCGCUGCCUUCCCGGGGGUUAGGUCACGCCUCCCGCCCUCCAGGCUCUCUAGGUGCCAGGGCUGCCUCGGCUUCUUGAAAAGCAGAGCUUCACUUGUCUGCUUCGGUUUGCCCCCCCCACACACACACACCAGACAUCUUUCUCCUCACGAAAGUGUUCCCUGGAUGAGGACGUUCAUAAAUCCCUGUCGCCAUUAUGUAUACCAUGUUCACUGUCCCCCCCCCCCAGAAUUGGGGGUUCCAACAACCAUCUGCUUAUGGAGGACCCGCCUAAGCGAAUAUUCGGUGGAAUAACUUCGCUUGCUGAAGAUUCCCUCCCAUUUUCUCAUUGUUUCGGGUUUGUAACCUUUUAAUUCCUUUAUUAUUUGUUGGGGUUAUAACAGGAGUAAAAACACCUGUGUCCAGUCUGAUAACUUGUACUACAAGGAAAAAUUUAGUUAAAUAAAUAUUUGGCGUAGGGAGAUCCUAUUAUAGAUAUGAUUAAAACCUCCCCACCGCCAUCCCCCAAGAACUGUGAAACGGCGAGGGGUGUUUUGAGGCAAGGGGGUGAUGGGCACAGGUGAUCAAAUUUUGUUAUGUUCACAUAUGACUGUCAAGAUGAUAUUUGUAGAACUAAUAUGCACC